UGGUGGGUAGUUUGACUGGGGCGGUCUCCUCCUAAAGAGUAACGGAGGAGCACGAAGGUUGGCUAAUCCUGGUCGGACAUCAGGAGGUUAGUGCAAUGGCAUAAGCCAGCUUGACUGCGAGCGUGACGGCGCGAGCAGGUGCGAAAGCAGGUCAUAGUGAUCCGGUGGUUCUGAAUGGAAGGGCCAUCGCUCAACGGAUAAAAGGUACUCCGGGGAUAACAGGCUGAUACCGCCCAAGAGUUCAUAUCGACGGCGGUGUUUGGCACCUCGAUGUCGGCUCAUCACAUCCUGGGGCUGAAGUAGGUCCCAAGGGUAUGGCUGUUCGCCAUUUAAAGUGGUACGCGAGCUGGGUUUAGAACGUCGUGAGACAGUUCGGUCCCUAUCUGCCGUGGGCGCUGGAGAACUGAGGGGGGCUGCUCCUAGUACGAGAGGACCGGAGUGGACGCAUCACUGGUGUUCGGGUUGUCAUGCCAAUGGCACUGCCCGGUAGCUAAAUGCGGAAGAGAUAAGUGCUGAAAGCAUCUAAGCACGAAACUUGCCCCGAGAUGAGUUCUCCCUGACUCCUUGAGAGUCCUGAAGGAACGUUGAAGACGACGACGUUGAUAGGCCGGGUGUGUAAGCGCAGCGAUGCGUUGAG
Molecule: ribosomal RNA, 637 nt
Filed under: Escherichia coli
Lineage: Bacteria; Pseudomonadati; Pseudomonadota; Gammaproteobacteria; Enterobacterales; Enterobacteriaceae
Description: partial 23S ribosomal RNA
Rfam family: Bacterial large subunit ribosomal RNA
Source: RNAcentral